RNAcentral lists this ribosomal RNA (441 nucleotides) under uncultured bacterium. RNAcentral's name for it is "partial 16S ribosomal RNA". It matches the Rfam family "Bacterial small subunit ribosomal RNA", at positions 28 to 507 of the family's 1533-position model. The record is from RNAcentral.
GAUGAACGCUGGCGGCGUGCCUAAUACAUGCAAGUCGAACGGGGAGUAGCAAUACUCUUAGUGGCGAACGGGUGAGUAACGCGUUGGUACCUGCCCCGAAGCGGGGGAUAACGGACCGAAAGGUCCGCUAAUACCCCAUGUGCUCGGUAACGAGUAAAGGUGAAAACCACUUUGGGAGGGGCAUGCGUCCCAUCAGCUAGUUGGUAAGGUAACGGCUUACCAAGGCGAUGACGGGUAGGGGACCUGAGAGGGUGGCCCCCCACAAUGGAACUGAAACACGGUCCAUACACCUACGGGUGGCAGCAGUAGGGAAUAUUGGUAAUGGGCGCAAGCCUGAACCAGCAACGCCGCGUGUGCGAUGACGGCCUUCGGGUUGUAAAGCACUUUUGACUGGGACGAGGAAGGACGGUACCGGUCGAAUCAGCCUCGGCUAACUACGUG